Molecule: ribosomal RNA, 494 nt
Filed under: uncultured Comamonas sp.
Lineage: Bacteria; Pseudomonadati; Pseudomonadota; Betaproteobacteria; Burkholderiales; Comamonadaceae
Description: bacterial SSU rRNA
Rfam family: Bacterial small subunit ribosomal RNA
Source: RNAcentral
GAUCCAGCAAUGCCGCGUGCAGGAUGAAGGCCCUCGGGUUGUAAACUGCUUUUGUACGGAACGAAAAGCCUGGGGCUAAUAUCCCCGGGUCAUGACGGUACCGUAAGAAUAAGCACCGGCUAACUACGUGCCAGCAGCCGCGGUAAUACGUAGGGUGCAAGCUUUAAUCGGAAUUACUGGGCGUAAAGCGUGCGCAGGCGGUUUUGUAAUACAGUGGUGAAAUCCCCGGGCUCAACCUGGGAACUGCCAUUGUGACUCCAAGGCUAGAGUGCGGCAGAGGGGGAUGGAAUUCCGCGUGUAGCAGUGAAAUGCGUAGAUAUGCGGAGGAACACCGAUGGAGAAGGCAAUCCCCUGGGCCUCCACUGACGCUCAUGCAAGAAAGCGUGGGGAGCAAACAGGAUUAGAUCCCCUGGUAGUCCCCGCCCUAAACGAUGUCAACUGGUUGUUGGGUCUUAACUGACUCAGUAACGAAGCUAACGCGUGAAGUUGACCGC